ACUUGAAGUGCCCCAAACCCCCAAGUACUAACUGCAGAGUUCCUUGGCCUUUUCACUGAUUAGGAGACUUUCCGCAUUUCUCUUCUUGGUUGCACGAAGCCUGUUCACAUAGGAAAUGUAUCCAUCCACGUCAGAUUUCCUUUUGCAGCCUGCAUAGUUCAUGUAACGUAUUUUCCCAAAAAUUGGUCGUUCCUUCCAACCCUGAAAUUCCAGACAAAUUACCUAAUCAGAGAAUUUCACUGACAUCUUUGUCAUUCCCUAUUGUAUCACUUCCAGUUGUCUAAGAAAGAACCAAUCACUCACAUCACUGGGGUUAUAAUGAGUGGAAAGUUGGGACGAAAAACAGAGAUUAAAAUAGAAAACUAUGGACAUAAACCUGGUCAUGAACACCACAUAUUGACCACAUGCAACCAACAUAUCCAUUUGGAUCUCUUCCGUCUAUUUCAUACUGCAAGAAGUGUUAUCAGCCAAAGAGGUCUAGGUGAAAACUUGACAACAACCUCGAUACGAGCAUAAUACAGUUGUACUUGCAUACCUUGUUAUUUAAAUAUAUGGAUAUUUCGAGGGCUUCUUCAGGUCCUCUUGUCCACUCAAGGAUCUUUUUUGCCCAAUACAUCCUGCAGAUGAUGUUUAUGUUAACAAGUAUCAGCAACUUCAUCUUAACAAAACUCUGAUUAGAAUAGUAAACCAAUUAACCAUACAGAGAACAAUUCCCCACCGCAUAAAACCAUGCAUCUUCCCAUAAUGAACCAUCUCAAGUUGGGAAGCAUUCCAGAGCUGCAAAGCAUGAGAACAUGAAACAGAAGGUCAUAAGAAAAUGAUACAGCAGACAACCUGAUAUACAACCAAGGUGAUAUGCAAAUACAUAAGCUUUAUGAUGUAGAAGAUCAGUUAACUUACUGGAUCAGCUGUUUGUGCCUUCUCCAAUUGCUCCCUCCUGCAAUUUUGAAUUUUUCUUUUACACUUCAUAAACGUUAUCACUUCACAAACAAAAAUCAACAUAUGACAACAAAGGACAACUGAUAUACUGACGUGUAAAUAUGUUCUCGCUUAUCCAAAGCAUGGUCCCUUAAGGUCUUACGUGCCCAUUCCCACGCCCCUUGCAAUGAAUCAUAAUGAGGCUGGUAGAAGCAGUAGUUGUCAGCAAGUUCUCUGCGCACAAUCAACUCCUCCAAAAAUGCAUCCACUGCCUAUUAAUAGCAUGUAAAAGUAGGAAAAUAAGUAAUAAGUUAUAUGAAGAGUUGAAUUAUUGAAAGACAACAUCAAACUGCAGAAAGUUCUGGACAUAGCAAAGUCAGAACCAGUAAGGAAAAUGUGAAAGCAAAACACAAAUAUUCAACUAUAAUUUAAAAUCACAAACCAGAGGACUGAGAUUUUGGACGCUACGUGCCUCCAAGGCACACCUCUGCGCAGAUAUUUGCCCAAAAUGCAAAUAUGGAGAAAGACCAGACACCCCUCUUGGUUUCAAGGGGUUAUUCCGGUCUGAUGAAUAACCCUUCAACCUUUUUGUCAAGAAUCCACUUUGGCUACCCAUCAAAACUUCCAUGGCUGCCUUUUCUCCCGGUUCGCAACAGUCAACUUCAGGAACUUCUGCUCCUUUCCUAGUCAUACGAUAAAACAUCAUCAAUAAACAGAAUCCCCAACAAUCCCAAAGCAUGUCAACAAAAAAUAAACAACACCAAACCUUAAAACUUCAUCAAUAAGACCAUCCCAAUCAAUCGCCGGACUAGCGCCCACCCAUCUCACAACCGGUGGCUGCAGCCAAGGAAAUUCAAUAAGAUACUCAGGCAGCCUUUUAUUAAUCUUACUCCUUAUAGUCCUAGCACUAUACUCCAGCUUCUCCGAUGCCGCCCAAAUAGGCACCACAUUGUGUGCAUCAACUUCAUGUACGGUCACAAAAUCACUAAGCCUCUUACACAUUUCCUCCUUACAUUUCCGAACCUCCCUCAAAGGUGAAAAAUCUGUCACCAAAAGUGAAGCCCCGCAUUCCCUCACAAAAUCCGGUAUCGUCUCCUCCGCUUCUCCCUGCAAUUAAAACCCACCUAUAUAAACCCCAAAACACAAAAAACAAAAUCCCCAAUUCUUCCAAUACCAAAAUCAAAAUCAAAAUCAAAAUCGAACCAAUUGGGUACUUAAAGAUUGAAUUUUUCCACAUACCCGGACAAGAAAGAACGGAACUUGACACGUGUCUUCAAGAUCAGAAUGCAAUUGCUUCAAUCCCCUCAGCAUAAACCCUAAAUGGCGCGCUUUGGCGCCAAGAAAUUGAUCGAACAAAUUGAACGCGACGGCGACCGGGACAUGAGCCUUGUUGGCCUCUUCGACGGCGUGGAUCAAAGCCCAAUUGUCUUUGACCCUCUGGUCUCUGAACAUCCAAUAAACAACAGGACCCGGGUUCGGUUCGACGGGUUUGGUUCCUUGCUUCAGUACCCGAAACCGACCCGGUUGAACGGAGGCGGUGUUUGCGGCCAUGGAGGAGUAGAAGGGGAGCGGAAUGCGGUUGCUGAAUUGCGCCGGCGGCGUAUGGAGGAUGUGGGCCAGGGUGGGGUUAGGUUAAGAGAGAGAAAUCGGAGAAGGUGAAAAUGGGGAAAGAGGAGAAUAGAAAAAAAAGGGAGGGAAACUCAACGGUUAAAGGUGUGGUUUUGAAUGGAGAUACGUGGCGUGAUGAGAGCGAAGGGGUUUGGGCUAUAACCCAUGAAAAUACCUGGAAGCUCAUAGGCCCAAGAAGAACAAGUGGGCUUGUCAGAGCCGAUCCACAUCUAGGCGGUCAGGGCCUAUACGGGUUGGCGGGUCCUGCUUUUAAAAAAGAAGACAAGCUACUUGUUCAAAACCAAUUGAUUUUUGUUUGCAGUUGAUUUUUAUUCUACGUUUUAUGAAUUUCGUAGUAAUCAGAAGAGAAGAAGAAAUAUGUAGAUGGGUAUGUGUUUUUAGAAUUAUCUGAUUCUACAUGUCUUUUUUUCUGAAUUUGAUGAAGGUAAGCGGAGCUGUUGAAGAAAAUUAGAAGAAGAAACCCAGUGAUUCUAAAGCCACUGAUUUAAUCACUUACUGAAUCAACUAUAGCAUCAGUCAAGUGUUUGACAGUAGAACUGAGGAAUUAUCAGAACUGAUUUAGUCUCUUACUGAUUGUACGAUUGAAUCAUUAGAUUAACUGUGUUCGAAUCCAUAGAUGAGGCCUCCACUACUCUGUUUUUGUUGUAUCAUGGUAAAAAGAGAAAAAGGAGAAGGGAAAUCUCAGGAAUAUGCUUCAUGUUAUGCAAACGUUAAGAAGGGCAAGGAGGUUCAACAAGUAGAACUACACAAGCUAAGUUUGAGCACCAAACUGACAACAAGAGCUACAAAGCUAGGCUCAUACUUUCAUUAAGAUACUAAUAAUAAGAAACCAUAUGUUUAGGCACAAAAGUCCCACUUAUUUUUGGUGAUUUUUUGAGUUGGACGAAAUGAUCGGACUGAUUAUAGACUCAAUCACUCAAAACCAAAUUACUCGCAGAAAAGAAAAAAAGGUUCCAAACUUUGUACAACGAUGAGAAACAGAAUAGAAAGAAACACUACGUGAGGAUCAAGGAAACAGAUGAGAUCAAUCCAACGGAAUAGAGAUUUCAUGUAGCAUAAUUCACAAAUAUCUUGCAUUGCCACUGACAGUGCACGUCUCACUAUUAUUUCUUUUAUCCACAGAGAUGCACCCAGUCAAUUAAGACUAGCGUCUACGCCGUCUAGUAGAGUUCAGUUUGGGGAACAUCAACUCUAUUGGGGAUGAAGAUGGACCGUACAAAAUCUCCGACCUGUCAGGCAACACCAACUCUUGCAGGACGGGGAAUGAACCCUGAAAUAGUAGUGAAAUACAUGUAAUUAACGUAAAGAUGAUAUGGAUAACAAAAUAGCUUAUACGUACAGAGAGAUUUUUCAUACAUUUUAAUUUGUUAUUUCAACAGUAGUAAUUCUUUUAGGUUUCAAUUGAAAAAAUGACCAUUACAUAUAUAUCCUUGAACAUAAAAUUUCAUGAGAUGUAUGUAGAAAACAGCAUCUGGAAUUCUGGACCAACAAUGAUCAAUGUUGCAAAUAAUAAGUAUGACAUCAAAUAUGAGUAAUAUUGACCAUGCCUCGAAUCUAGUAGAAUAUGAGGGGGAGAAGAAUACGAAUAAGUAGAACUCUUACGCACCUUAUCAAUGAGAAAGAAAGGUUGUUUAGUUGGAGCAUGCAGUUGUGUUUCCUGAAAGUGUGAUACUUCUGCAGCAAAAGUCUCCAGAGAACAACGAGAAAACACGAAAUAUUGGAGUGAUGGCCACUCAGAAGUAUGCAUCGCGGGAUAGAAGCUCGUAACUGUGUCCAUAGAGUCAAACAUCAUAGCUUUGACUUUUGGGAAUAUAAACCUAGGAUGUGUUGUUGAUUCUACUGCACCUUCUUCCUUGCCAACAACAUUCCUCAUUUCAAAACAAUAACGCAACUCCAGCUCCUGCAACUGCUGAAGUCCUUUGGUUACCAUAGAUGCGGGGAAAACAUAUCUCAAAUUGUGACAGAAGUAUAUCGUAACCGACUUCAGAUUUUGACCGUCUUUCAAAUGAGUGGUUGUUGUGCCAGUACUUUCUCCGCUUUCAUCAAAUACUACUCUCGCUGACGCGCAACCAAAUAUAACCAAGGUUUCCAGACCACUCAAUCUUCCUGUCAUACUUGGUGGAAAAAUACUACUUACACCACUGCAAUUCUCCAGGUGAAAUUCUCUGAGUCUGCAAAAUGAGCCUGGUGCUAGUUGGUUGUGCCAUAUUUUCUUCAAGGCUGUGUCUUCUCCGUAUUUGAUGAUUUUCAAUAUCUCCAAUCUUGGAAAUCUUACCUGCACAAUUAUUUCGCUUUCAACUUAGAGACUUAUUGCCUUUAUAAUUAAGUGGACUUAUUAAUUGAAAAUUGAUCGAGAACCAGAGAUGUAAAAUUACCUUUUCGUCAAAGAGAACGUUUCCCCAGUAUGUAGCACUUUCUCCUAGUUUACUACAGCCAUCUACAUGUAGCUCCUCCAAUAAUGGAAAAUCAAUACAACUUCCAGCUGUACAGAAUCUAGCAAAGUUUGGAAGUUCAUUCAACGUGAGUCUUUCUAGCUUAGCAAAUAUGUUAUCCACAUCUUCUUCAUGGGACUCUAUUGUAGAAACUAUCUCUUCCAUGUCUCGGCAGCUACAUACCUCGAGAUAUUUGAGUUUUACAAGACUUCUGACCAUAGAAGAUGUAAACAAGUAUUUGAAGCCAUCACAGGAAGACACGUCCAAUGUUGUUAAGUUGGACAUCACAAUCUGUAGUGCACAUAUUACUAAUUAGUUAUGUACAAAUUGUCUUACGAUCGUUGAAUAAAAGAUACAAUAAAAAAUGAGUACAAGAAUUAAGCUCAUGAGACCAAUGUGAAAAUGAAAUCAACGUACGUACCUUUGUCUUCAUGAGAAAUGAAAAAUCACCUCCAUUCACGGUAAAAAUAUCACACUUCUUGAGCAAUAUUUUUACAUUCUCGUUCAAUUCAAAUCUGGGAUGGGGCUGUAGUUUAAGGGUAUUGAGAGUUGUUUCUUCCAUAGAACCGAAGUCCCCGUCGCCAAGAAAUAUUUGGUAUUUUUCCAACCUGUCCGAGAAAAACUUUGGUGGAAGAAUGUCAAUAUCUGGAAUGUGUACUUCUAAUGCGGUUACGUUGGGCAAGUUCAUCAGCUCCAAAAGGCUCGCAAUACUUGUUUCACUGUCUAAUUCUUCGGAUUCAUAUUGUUUGGCGGUACCCUCCCAUUUGUCAAAGCUGUUUCUCAAUCUCAAGUCUUCGAGUUUUGUCCAAUUGGAAAUGACACCAGCUGGAAUCACACUAAGAAAAAGGCAAUCAGACAAAUCCACCAACCGUAGACGGGUUAACUGCCCAAAUUCUUGGGGUAACUGUCUAACAUUGGACUGUACCAUGCUAAGAAUUUCCAAGUUUCUUAGUUCUCCAACUAGGGCUAGGUUCGUGUCUUCGAAAUAAUAUCCGUCUAAACACAAUGUCUGGAGAUUCUUUAAAGAUGAAAAAGAUGAGGGUAGAAGCACAGAUCUUAAUCCCAAUACCUUGAGUUUUUUCAUCUCCUCGAAAAAGUUGUUUGGUAUUUCAUCAUCUUCAUUGUCAUCAUCAUCUCCUCUGACUAAAUGUAACAGCUCCAGUUGUGGACAUUUCCAAGGUACUUGCGGAAGAGUGGCGAUCUUGCAACAAGGCAAACAAAUCUUACUGCACUCAAUAAAGAACUCUUCAUCUGGCCAUUUUUCCAACUUAUUAUGACCUCCAUCUUCAACCAAGGCAUGUUGAACUCUCCGUGCAAUCCUGUUAGCAACAUCACGUACAAGAUCAUGCAUUCUGACACAUGUACCAUCAUCACCGUCUAACAAUAGACAACAACUUUUGAGCUUGUCAACCUGUUCAUACAAGGCAUUUCGUGCUUCUUCCACGGUACAGUCUUGAAAGAAACCCAAACCUAUGCUAUAUUUCAACAAGGUUGUCAAUGAAAUAUUGUUGCCCAUAGCGACAGAACCACACAACAAGAACAGUGAUUGAAGUUGCUCCUUGUCACUCAAUUGAGUGUAACUCCACUCGAUACCCGAGUAUGCCUUGUGAGUCAAGUCUCCUUUCUCAUCAAACCUUUCGAGCUUUUUCAAGGCAUUUUUCCAGAUGGGUAGAUUCUUGUUUUCUAAUGCUCUUGCAACUGUGAUAACCAAAACAGGCAACCCCCCACAUUUCUCGGCUACUUGAGCUGCUACAGGUCGAAUAGUAGGAUCCGCAACAACAUCACCUGCUUUCUUUUCAAAUAAAGCCCAUGCUUCUUUGUCAUCCAAUACCCCAAGCGGAAACUCCUUUUGCUUAAUCUUAUGAGAAAAUACUUGUUGACUCCUGGAUGUCAACAAUAUUCUACAAGUGGAUUUGUGGGGAAGUCCCACAGCCUUCAAAUCAACUUCUUCCCAAACAUCAUCAAAAAUGACGAGAGUGUUGUUGUUCUUGAUUCUUUCAUUUAUUUUAUCGGCCCUUCCAGGUAGAGUAUGCGCUUCCAAAAUAUUCUUCAGACCUAACUUGUCAGCAAUUUGCUUUUGAAUUGCUUCCAAGUUUGGAACUUUCACAUCCCUUACCAUUACUGCAUCCUGAAAGAGCUUCUCUUUUUGAGCUUUCCUUAGAACUUCUUCAACGAGCGUGGUCUUUCCCACACCCCCAACACCAUACACCAAUAUCAUAUCAGAACUAGAGGUACUUCUCAAUUCCUUCAAGAUUUUCUCCACUACUGAACUUCUUGAAUCAAAUUCCUCAUAGUCUUCGUCAGAUGCGAUACAUUCAUCUUCUGGGGGAACAACGUAUGAAAUAUCAGGAAAAUCUCUUUUCUCAUAUAAUUCAGUAACCCCCUGCAGCAACUCCAAUAAUUCCUUGCUUCCAUGACUUAAAGAGGCGUUUGGCUUUUCAAUUGCUUGGAUGCCAUCUUUCAUAAAUUCGCUUGCAUCUUCAGUUGAUCGGUGCUUGUCUUUCAAAUACUGUUCUGCUUUUUUAACAAUCUCAGUCACUCUUUUUAGCCAGUCUAGGACAUUCUUAUGGAUUUUUUCACCCUUCACUUCAGCUGCAGCGACCUCCUCAGCUAACGUCUCUUUAGCAACACUUAAUUUAUCCACUUCAGUCUGUAGAUCUUUAGGGGGUUCGAAUGAAAUGUCAGGAAAAUCUCUUUUCUCAUAUAGUUCAGUAACCCCCUGCAGCAACUCCAAUAAUUCCUUGCUUCCAUGACUUAAGGAGGCGUUUGGCUUUUCAAUUGCUUGGAUUUCAUCUUUUGAGAAUUCGGUUGCCUCCUCAACUGAUUGGUGCUUGUCUUUCAACAAUUCUUCUGCCACUUCAGUAAUCUCAGCCACUUUUUUCAGCCAGUCUUGGACAUUUGCAUGGAUCGUUUCACCCUUCACUUUAGCUGCAGCAACCUUCUCAGCUAACGUAUCUUUAGCAACUCUUAAUUUGUCCACUUCAGUCUCUAGAUCUUUAGGGCCUUUAGGGGGGACGUACGCAAUGUCAGAAAGUUCUUUUGCUUCGUUGAUCAGCUCGGUAACAGCUACAACCAAUGCCAACGAGUUCUUGCUUCGACGACGACGGAGCACCGGAUUUGGACAAAACCCAUGGACACAUUUCGUCUUUGGUUGGCCAUCAUCUUUCAAGGAAUUAUUUGCGUUUUCAACAGUAGGUUGUUGCUUAUCUUUCAACAGUUGUUCUGCCUCCUUAGUGAUCCUAGCCACAUUUUCCAGCCAAACCUGGACACCCGAAUAAAUCUUUUCACCCUUGGCUUCAGCUACGGUAAUCUUCGUACUCACUGUGUCCUUUGCCUCACUUAAUUUUCUCAAUUCAGUCUCAAGAUUUUCAAGGUUGCGUUUGUAGUGGAUCAAAUAACCCACUUGCCGUCCAACUGUUGAACCCGCAAACCCCAAAAUCUUUCCAACAAGAUCUGUAGCAGUUCCAGUAGCAAUCUCCAUAUCUGUUGAUAUAAUGCAGAGUAAGUAUAACAUGACAGGUGUUAAAACAAGGAAACUAAAUGACCAUAGAAGGAAGAAAUAACGAGCAAGUCUAGCACUCUAACUGAGUUGGUGAGUCUCAUAGAUAUCUCAGAUUGUUUACAUUAGUCUACUACCUGAAUCUAAAUACGUACAGGUAUACUAAUCCAGCAAACUACUAAGUAAAAUCUUGAUCAAGAACAAUAGCUGAUUCUUCUAUAGACUAGGCCCAAGUUUCUUUGUCAGCAAAGGCAAAUGUUUGUGUUCAUCAUUUCCUCGUAAUCAACUUAGUAAAGAUCCGAGAAAAAGGAAUGAGUCUUAUGUUGAGAAUUGAUCUGUGAUAAUAGGUCGGAUCGUACCAAUAUCAAUCUAUUGUAUCUAUUUAUUGUUAUUCAAAUAUUGGCUUUAUCCAUAGACAUCUCAGAUCUUAAGUGUUAUAUAUGUAGUAUUUUUCCUUCACAUGAAAGUAAUUGAAGAACAUACACGAAGAAGGAAAUUGAACGAACACAAAAGAAAGAAAGAAAUUGAAGAACGUACCUGUAUGCCACAAUCUUUUGGUCCUCUUCGUCUAGAACACCAUAGUGAAAAUGUAAUCCGUCUGGUAAUGAACUUUGGAUGAGAAAGCCAACACUAACUAGUGUCUAAUUAUUUUUAAAGCUAACCAGCCAAUUCUUUGUCUAAUCGGUCAACAAUAGCGUCUAAUUAAAUUAUCACAGACUUCAUCAGUUGAAUAAUUAAUUUCCCUUUCAUAGCAAAGCACAGCUGAUCAGCCAAGACUUUGUCUCAGAAGAAACAAAACCUGGAAGAAAACCCCAACUCUUUCAUAUGUUAAUUAACAAGAGUUGAUGGGUUCUUAGCUGAGGCCAUCAUCUGAAAAAUAUUUUCUUCAGGAUAACAAGUUUGCAAAGUAACAUGGUGUGGCCAUCUUCACUGGAUCCAGAUAGUAUAAGUUGACUCAGUGCUUUUAUUCAAUACAAAUUGUUCUAAUAGAAACAUGGUUAGAUGGGAAAAAAUUAACAGGUAGGAAUCUUGUAACAGUUUUCCGAACUUAGUUUGUGAAUCAAGACACCCAUCAUGUACAAGCAGAAACAAUAUAUAAAGCAGGAACAAACAAUAUAUCAAAGUAGGGAUAAUAUGUCUGUUAUGGAGUAUGGAGUAACCACAGACCUCGAGCAUUCUAAAUCCUAAGAAACAAAAAGCCUAGCAGCCACAAGGUUACAAGUUAGGGGAAAGAUCUUGACAUCUAAAAGUCUUCUGACCUUUUCAUUGCGUAGGAGCCCCAAGUCCUAACUGCAGAGUUCCUUGGCCUUAUCAUUGAGUAGGAGACUGUCCGAUUUUCUCUUCUUUGUUGCAUCAAGCCUCUUCACAUAGGAAAUGUAUCCAUCCACGUCAAAUUUCCUUUUGCAGCCUGCAUAGUUCAUGUAACGUAUUUUCCCAAAAAUUGGUCGUUCCUUCCAACCCUGAAAUUCC
RNAcentral lists this long non-coding RNA (9948 nucleotides) under Fragaria vesca (wild strawberry). RNAcentral's name for it is "long non-coding RNA (FVES_LNC002138)". The record is from RNAcentral. Lineage: Eukaryota; Viridiplantae; Streptophyta; Magnoliopsida; Rosales; Rosaceae.